This is a small nucleolar RNA of Fundulus heteroclitus (mummichog), 78 nucleotides long. The record is from Ensembl. Lineage: Eukaryota; Metazoa; Chordata; Actinopteri; Cyprinodontiformes; Fundulidae.
GUCUUGUCAAUGAUGUUCCUAAAUAAAUGUCUGAACAUAUGACUUUCUGUGAUUCAUUUGUAUAAGCUGAGACAAGAC